RNAcentral lists this ribosomal RNA (1726 nucleotides) under Delftia acidovorans. RNAcentral's name for it is "bacterial LSU rRNA". It matches the Rfam family "Bacterial large subunit ribosomal RNA", at positions 1 to 1322 of the family's 2925-position model. Lineage: Bacteria; Pseudomonadati; Pseudomonadota; Betaproteobacteria; Burkholderiales; Comamonadaceae. The record is from RNAcentral.
GUAUAGGAUCAAGCGAGCGAAGCGCAUGUGGUGGAUGCCUUGGCGAUGACAGGCGAUGAAGGACGUGGCAGCCUGCGAUAAGCCUCGGGGAGCUGGCAGACGAGCUGUGAUCCGGGGAUGUCCGAAUGGGGAAACCCGGCCCGCAAGGGUCAUCCUGGCCUGAAUCCAUAGGGUCAGUGAGGCGAACCGCCUGAACUGAAACAUCUCAGUAGGGCGAGGAGAAGAAAUCAACCGAGAUUCCGAAAGUAGUGGCGAGCGAAAUCGGAGGAGCCUGCAGUCUUUAGCCGCUGGCUUAGCAGAACGCUCUGGAAAGGGCGGCCGCAGAGGGUGAGAGCCCCGUAUGCGAAAAGCGGGCGGUGGAACUAGGGCUGCGACAAGUAGGGCGGGACACGUGGAAUCCUGUCUGAAGAAGGGGGGACCAUCCUCCAAGGCUAAAUACUCGUCAUCGACCGAUAGCGAACCAGUACCGUGAGGGAAAGGCGAAAAGAACCCCGGGAGGGGAGUGAAACAGAUCCUGAAACCGCAUGCGUACAAACAGUGGGAGCCCCAGCUUAAUGGGCUUUCGGGUUCUUUCGGCGGAGCACGCGCAGCCGUGCGUAGCCAAAAGAAUUCAAGAAAGAAACAGAUCCUUGCGUCGACGGCGUAAGGCGCAAGAUCCUUGCGUCGACGGUGUAAGGCGCAAGAUCCUUGCGUCGACGGCGCAAGAUCCUUGCGUCGACGGUGCAAUGGUCGAAGGUCGGAUGAGUUCAUCGAAGUGAAGGUGACUUCGGAUCGCGAAGCGAGACGAAAGGCCCCCCCGCUUGAUGGACUCAUCGAGAGUCCAUCAAGCUGGGGUGACUGCGUACCUUUUGUAUAAUGGGUCAGCGAGUUACAUUCUGUGGCGAGGUUAACCUUUUAGGGGAGCCGCAGCGAAAGCGAGUCUUAACAGGGCGUGAGAAGUCGCAGGAUGUAGACCCGAAACCGGAUGAUCUACCCAUGGCCAGGCUGAAAGUGGGGUAACGCCCACUGGAGGGCCGAACCCACGCCUGUUGAAAAAGGCGGGGAUGAGCGGUGGGUAGGGGUGAAAGGCCAAACAAAUCCGGAAAUAGCUGGUUCUCUCCGAAAGCUAUUGAGGUAGCGCCUCGUGUGGUGACCCUCGGGGGUAGAGCACUGUUAUGGCUAGGGGGCGAGCGUUCGCUUACCAAACCAUGGCAAACUCCGAAUACCGAGGAGUUGAGCACGGGAGACAGACCCAGGGUGCUAACGUCCUGGGUCGAGAGGGAAACAACCCAGACCCGCAGCUAAGGUCCCCAAUGCAUGGCUCAGUGGCAAACGAAGUGGGAGGGCUUAGACAGCCAGGAGGUUGGCUUAGAAGCAGCCACCCUUUAAAGAAAGCGUAAUAGCUCACUGGUCGAGUCGUCCUGCGCGGAAGAUGUAACGGGGCUGCAAGCCAUGAACCGAAGCUCGGGGUGUGUGCAAUCCGCCUGAAGUUGCUUCAUCGUGGUCAUCGGGGUGGACGAGGCUGACUUUCGCUUGCGAAAGUCAAGCGGCAGCUUUGCUGCUGCGGCCGAGGCCAAAGCGUCCUGCUUCCGAUCGAGUUGGGAGGGCGCGCGCGAGUCGGAAGGAGUGACUUCAGGGGAUUGCACACGCGGUAGGAGAGCGUUCCGUAGGCCGGUGAAGGGGCCUUGAGAGGGGUCCUGGAGGUAUCGGAAGUGCGAAUGCUGACAUGAGUAGCGAUAAAGCGGGU